UUAAUUUUUAAAAAAUUCAUUUACAUAGAAUAAUUUUUGUACCUUUUGUAUCAGGGUUAAUUAAUAUAAUUUAUAAAUUUAAUAAUCUCGAAAAAAGAAGAACAAAAUAUUUAAUUAUGCUUUUGUAGAAUAAAGAGUUAUAAUAUAUAUUUAGAAAUUAGAUGUUAAUCGAAUUAUUUUAUAUCUAUUUUUUUUAAAUAAAUUUAAUUUGUAUAUAAAAAAAUUAAAAACAUUUAUUUAAAAAUUUUUAUAUUUUUAUAUAAAAAAUUUAUGGGAUAAUCUAUAAAUUUAGAAUAUAUAAUUUUUAUUAUUUAAUAUAAAUAAU
This 325-nucleotide unclassified non-coding RNA is filed under the name Bombus terrestris (buff-tailed bumblebee). RNAcentral's name for it is "misc RNA ENSBTSG00005025992.1". Lineage: Eukaryota; Metazoa; Arthropoda; Insecta; Hymenoptera; Apidae. The record is from RNAcentral.